RNAcentral lists this ribosomal RNA (161 nucleotides) under Pleurostylia leucocarpa. Its description in RNAcentral is "5.8S ribosomal RNA". It matches the Rfam family "5.8S ribosomal RNA". Rfam says of the family: 5.8S ribosomal RNA (5.8S rRNA) is a component of the large subunit of the eukaryotic ribosome. It is transcribed by RNA polymerase I as part of the 45S precursor that also contains 18S and 28S rRNA. Functionally, it is thought that 5.8S rRNA may be involved in ribosome translocation. Lineage: Eukaryota; Viridiplantae; Streptophyta; Magnoliopsida; Celastrales; Celastraceae. RNAcentral also lists the same sequence under 1 other name. The record is from RNAcentral.
AUCGUAUCUGAAACGACUCUCGGCAACGGAUAUCUCGGCUCUCGCAUCGAUGAAGAACGUAGCGAAAUGCGAUACUUGGUGUGAAUUGCAGAAUCCCGUGAACCAUCGAGUUUUUGAACGCAAGUUGCGCCCGAAGCCGUCAGGCCGAGGGCACGCCUGCC